UCCUUCGGGGUCCUGAGAGUGGCGAACGGGUGAGUAACACGUAGAUAAUCUGCCUCGAGAUUGGGGAUAGCCCAUGGAAACAUGGGAUAAUACCGAAUAUACUCUUUUCUUGAUGAAGAGAAGAGGAAAGGCGCGUUUGCGCUGUCUUGAGAUGAGUCUGCGGCGUAUUAGCUUGUUGGUAGGGUAAAGGCCUACCAAGGCGAUGAUACGUAGCCGGCCGGAGAGGGUGAUCGGCCACACUGGGAUUGAGAUACGGCCCAGACUCCUACGGGAGGCAGCAGCUAAGAAUCUUCCGCAAUGGGCGAAAGCCUGACGGAGCGACGCCGCGUGGGUGAUGAAGGUCUGAUGAUUGUAAAACCCUUUUUGUGUUGAGGAAUAAGGCGAGAAGGAAAUGUCUCGCCGAUGACGUUAGACACAGAAUAAGCCCCGGCUAAUUACGUGCCAGCAGCCGCGGUAAUACGUAAGGGGCAAGCGUUGUUCGGAUUCAUUGGGCGUAAAGGGCGCGCAGGCGGCUUCGAAAGCUCCGUGUGAAAUCCCGUGGCUUAACCACGGUUCCGCGCGGGGAACUACGUAGCUAGAGUUUCGGAGGGGAAGCUGGAAUUCCGGGUGUAGGGGUGAAAUCCGUAGAUAUCCGGAGGAACAUCAGAGGCGAAGGCGAGCUUCUGGACGAAAACUGACGCUGAGGCGCGAAGGCGUGGGGAGCAAACAGGAUUAGAUACCCUGGUAGUCCACGCUGU
This 737-nucleotide ribosomal RNA is filed under the name uncultured spirochete. RNAcentral's name for it is "bacterial SSU rRNA". It matches the Rfam family "Bacterial small subunit ribosomal RNA", at positions 76 to 803 of the family's 1533-position model. The record is from RNAcentral. Lineage: Bacteria; Pseudomonadati; Spirochaetota; Spirochaetia; Spirochaetales.